CCGCUCUCGGCCGCGCCCCCCUCUAUCUACCCACCUCCGCCUGCGCCCGCCACCCCGCUCGCGUUCCCGGGGCGCGCGGGGCCGAGAGCCCAGUUCCCCGUGGUGGGGAAGGUGCCAAGCCGCGGGAGCUGGCGAUGAGCGGGAGUUGUGGCCAGCCCUGAGCAAAGACCUCGCCCGCCAGCCUCAGCUUCCCCGUCUGCCCAGUGAGGGGCAGGAAUGAGAUGAAAGUCCCCGUCCUGAGAUUCCAAGAGUGGGCCACAAAGGACAUCUUAGGCACUCGCCGUCGGGCUGAUCCCACCUCACUCCUCAGGCCAGAGCAAAGAGCCUCUCCACCUGGUCUUGGCCUUCCAGAGUCUGGCUGGAGUCCACAGAGGCUGCCCCUGACCAGCCGGGCUGUCAAGGCUGCCGACCGAAUGCCCAGGACCCUGAUGAGCCUCCCUGGGCCUUCUGCUGACCCCAGGAGUAUCCCCAUGAGGAAUACAGCAGGAACCUGGGCCCUCCCUGGGGACCUUGGCUUGGAUGGAAGGACCCAGGCCCCCACCUUUCCCUUCCUCGUGCCCACUGGUCCUGCUUGCCACUCACCUUGCCCAGGUGGGUCAGUGGGGUAGCCUUACGCAAGGCUGAAAGUCUCUAGGAGGCAGAAUCUGCAAGAGGAAUGUGACGGAGCCUGGCCUUUGGGCAUUAUGGCCCCUGGCUAACUACCUGUCAGGCCUAGUGCAGGGGCUCCUCCCUAGGGCCUCUUGAGAGGCAGGGCUGCCUUGGGAAGAAACUCGGCAUGGCCCCAAUGCCCGUCCCCCCCACCAGCCCAGGCUCCCAGAGUUUCAACACCACUGAGGCUGGGCCUCUGGGGACUGCUGAGCGCCCGGAAUGGAGUCACUUAAUCUCCCCAAGUCUGGUUUCCUCAUCUGUCAGUGGACUACAAAAAUAGGACCUGAGUCUCCUGCUGUGGGAGGGGGAAGGGGUGUGUACCAGAGGCCCCGCCUGUGGCCCCCUCCCUUGGUCGUGGUUCCCCUCUCCGCCUCCAUCUCCUGCUUACAGGGUCUGUCGAUUGGCUGACCCCCCUCAAGCCCCUCCACUGCGGCAGCUCCGUGAGAGCAGGGGUCCAUCCCCAGGGCCUACAAGGGGUCUGGAGUGAACCAAUGAAUGUUUUCUGCACCCCUGUCCCGUCCUCCAGACUCCAUCUGCAAACGUCAGUGCAGCCAGACCUGCUGCAGCUAAGGCAGCUGGCCCGCGGGAGGGAGGCCGUAAAGCCAUGGCCUUAAAGCCGCGUUAGGGCCAGGAUGGGGCCCAGGGUCUCGACUGCCUCCUCCUGGUUCACGCAGUCUUUACCCACCAUGCCCGUGGAGGCACAGAGCUGUUUGUUAUUGCGUUAUAGUUCGUACACAAGUCUCUUAAAAGUUUGAUUAUUGUGAGUCCUUCCCAGGAGACUGAUCAGCCCUCAGAACAAGAAAGAAAGAAAGAAAGAGAGAGAGAGAGAGAGAGAGAGAAAGAAAGAGAGAGAGAAAGAAAGAAAGAAAGAAAGAAAGAAAGAAAGAAAGAAAGAAAGAAAGAAAAGGAGUUUCUGUCUCUGCAAAGAAAGGCUGGUUUGCAGAGAGCUCUGGGUGGUGA
Long non-coding RNA from Ursus americanus (American black bear), 1608 nucleotides. NCBI's taxonomy places the organism in Eukaryota, Metazoa, Chordata, Mammalia, Carnivora, Ursidae. The record is from Ensembl.